This 280-nucleotide signal recognition particle RNA is filed under the name Microcebus murinus (gray mouse lemur). Its description in RNAcentral is "Metazoan signal recognition particle RNA (ENSMICG00000030229.2)". It matches the Rfam family "Metazoan signal recognition particle RNA". Rfam says of the family: The signal recognition particle (SRP) is a universally conserved ribonucleoprotein. The record is from RNAcentral. Lineage: Eukaryota; Metazoa; Chordata; Mammalia; Primates; Cheirogaleidae.
GCCUGGUGUGGUGGCAGCUACCUGGGGGCCGAGGUGGGAGAUGGCUUGAGCCCAGGAGUUCUGGGUUUCAGUGUGCUGUGCCGAUCAGGUGUUGGAACUAAGUUCAGCAUCAAUAUGGUGACUUGCCAGAAGGGGGGACUACCAGGUUGCCUGAGAAGGAGUGAAUCAGCCCCUGUCAGAAGCAGAAUAGGUCAAAAGGCCCAUGCUGAUCAGUAGUGGGACUGUGGCUAUGAACAGCCACUGCACUUCAGCCUGGGCAACGUAGCAAGACCCCGUCUCU